RNAcentral lists this long non-coding RNA (1286 nucleotides) under Struthio camelus australis. Its description in RNAcentral is "lncRNA (ENSSCUG00000003912.1)". The record is from RNAcentral. Lineage: Eukaryota; Metazoa; Chordata; Aves; Struthioniformes; Struthionidae.
CUCUUUACCAGCUGAUUGGCUUGGCGGCCUCCACACGCGCCGCACCACCUGCUCCCUCCUUUCUCAUCCUGUUUUGUGGUUCCCUUGUUCCGGAGGGCGUUGCCGAUUGACAUUCGUAUGCAGUUUUGUUAAAACAAAAAGGGGGAGAUGCCUGGGGCAACGCGCACCAGAAGACGACUAGGAGCAGCAACAAAGCACUCCCUCAGCGUGAGAAGCCCUGGGAAACUGUGCCCAACAGGAAGAUUUGAGUCAGCGCUAAGACGGGCAGGCGCCCGCGAGCCAUCCGAGUGCAGACAUUGAAACCAGGGCAAGGACGUGAGAGAGGGAAGACAAUCUCAAUGCAGAGCGUGGCUUGCAGCAACGCAGCAAAGCAACUUCAGUCUGCAAACACAGCUAUAUUCUCACAGAAUAAGGCAUACAGGAGAGGAUGAAAUAUGAAACAACAAUCCUGCUUCACUGCACGCAAGGAGUAUCCACUUGGAAAAAAAUAUUCAGCGAUAAGAAAUUCUGAGAAUGACACUCUUUGAUUUACUGUUAAUGAGGAAAGUCUACAACAGAGGAGAAUGGGUUUGUGCUGAUAUAGCCUUCCUGAAGAACACCUUUUGUGUUUGGAAUAGCUCGUCGUCUUUGAAAAUAUUCUUACUUUUUCAUCCUUGGAAAAUGCCAGAGAGUUAUCAGCUGUAGCAUGAUGUCCUGGAUGUCUAAAGCAACGGAACAAAAUUUUUACAUUCAGGAAGACUGAAGAAGCCAUAAGUUGUGUCACCUCCUUCACAUUGGGUAAGAUCAAUGAUGCUGCAUAAUGCCAGCCAAGCGAUUUCACUAAGUGACAGGUGACAACACUUGAAUAACAACGAAUUUCUUGGCAAAUACACAGUAAUGAAAUACGUGGCAAAAAUCUAGAUUGCUACCUUUGUAUGCAAUGUGAUUAGUUAGGUAUGUAUUGUGACUACUUUGUGUCAGGGCAGUGUGCCUAAGUGAUAAUUAGAAGAUUAAGUUGUGGCUCAAAUGACUUUGCUGAGUGAUGAGCUAUUAAGCUGAUUAAUAACAAAUAACGUGGCAUUAUUUGUAAUAUCAUAUGGUAAGAAACAUGAACAAAUUUGAUGCAACAUGUAAAACUGGGGAUUAUACACAUGACACAUAAAAAGAUCACUUGUCUUCUUCCCUACAUAAACUCUCUGAUAUGGUAAAAUAGAAUAUAUAUUAGUUCUAAAGCAUUACUAAAUCUUUUAUUUUCAAAUUAGCAAAGAGAAAAUAAAAAGAAGAAAGGAAAAGAAAAGACUAUUUCC